Molecule: ribosomal RNA, 364 nt
Filed under: uncultured Gammaproteobacteria bacterium
Lineage: Bacteria; Pseudomonadati; Pseudomonadota; Gammaproteobacteria
Description: bacterial SSU rRNA
Rfam family: Bacterial small subunit ribosomal RNA
Source: RNAcentral
UAGAGUUUGAUCCUGGCUCAGAUUGAACGCUGGCGGCGUGCCUAACACAUGCAAGUCGAGCGGUAACAGGUGUAGCAAUACAUGCUGACGAGCGGCGAACGGGUGAGUAAUGCUUCGGAAUCUGCCCAAUGGUGGGGAAUAACUAGCCGAAAGGUUAGCUAAUACCGCAUACGACCUACGGGUGAAAGCAGGGGAUCGCAAGACCUUGCGCCGAUGGAUGAGCCGAAGUCGGAUUAGCUAGUUGGUAGGGUAACGGCCUACCAAGGCGACAAUCCGUAGCUGGUCUGAGAGGACGACCAGCCACACUGGGACUGAGACACGGCCCAGACUCCUACGGGAGGCAGCAGUGGGGAAUAUUGGACAA